This 467-nucleotide ribosomal RNA is filed under the name uncultured bacterium. Its description in RNAcentral is "partial 16S ribosomal RNA". It matches the Rfam family "Bacterial small subunit ribosomal RNA", at positions 28 to 507 of the family's 1533-position model. The record is from RNAcentral.
GACGAACGCUGGCGGCGUGCUUAACACAUGCCAGUCGAACGGAAAGGCCCUGCUUUUGUGGGGUGCUCGAGUGGCGAACGGGUGAGUAACACGUGAGUAACCUGCCCUUGACUUGGGAUAACUUCAGGAAACUGGGGCUAAUACCGGAUAGGAGCUCCUGCUGCAUGGUGGGGGUUGGAAAGUUUCGGCGGUUGGGGAUGGACUCGCGGCUUAUCAGCUUGUUGGUGGGGUAGUGGCUUACCAAGGCUUUGACGGGUAGCCGGCCUGAGAGGGUGACCGGCCACAUUGGGACUGAGAUACGGCCCAGACUCCUACGGGAGGCAGCAGUGGGGAAUAUUGCACAAUGGGCGGAAGCCUGAUGCAGCAACGCCGCGUGCGGGAUGACGGCCUUCGGGUUGUAAACCGCUUUCGCCUGUGACGAAGCGUGAGUGACGGUAAUGGGUAAAGAAGCACCGGCUAACUACGUG